This 459-nucleotide ribosomal RNA is filed under the name uncultured bacterium. RNAcentral's name for it is "partial 16S ribosomal RNA". It matches the Rfam family "Bacterial small subunit ribosomal RNA", at positions 338 to 795 of the family's 1533-position model. The record is from RNAcentral.
CCUACGGGCGGCAGCAGUGAGGAAUAUUGGUCAAUGGCCGGAAGGCUGAACCAGCCAAGCCGCGUGAAGGACGAAGGUGCCAAGCAUUGUAAACUUCUUUUGUCAAGGGACAAAAUCAGGCUCGAGAGCCUGACCGCGGGUACUUGAAGAAAAAGCAUCGGCUAACUCCGUGCCAGCAGCCGCGGUAAUACGGAGGAUGCGAGCGUUAUCCGGUUUUAUUGGGUUUAAAGGGUGCGCAGGCGGAAGGUCAAGUCAGAGGUAAAAUGGAGAGGCUAAACCUCUACGAGCCGUUGAAACUGGUUUUCUUGAGUGAGUGAGAAGGAUGCGGAAUGCGUGGUGUAGCGGUGAAAUGCAUAGAUAUCGGGCGGAACCCCGAUGGCGAAGGCAGCUUACCGGCUCCACACUGACGCUGAGGCACGAAAGCGUGGGUAGCGAACAGGAUUAGAUACCCGAGUAGUC